AUUUUGACUGUGCAAAGGUAGCAUAAUCAUUAGUCUUUUAAUUGGGGACUGGUAUGAAUGGUUUAACGAAGUAUUAACUGUCUCAUUUUAAUAAAUUGAAUUUAACUUUUGAGUCAAAAGGCUUAAAUGAAAUUGGAGGACGAGAAGACCCUAUAGAGCUUUAUAAUUUGAAUAUUAGGUUGGAUUUGGAUGUUUUGUUUAACUUAAAUAUUAAAUUUAUUUUAUUGGGGUGAUAUAAAGAUUUAAUAAACUCUUUGUAAUAGGUAAACACUAAUGAGUGAAUAAUUGAUCCAUUUUUAGUGAUUAAAAGAUUAAGUUACCUUAGGGAUAACAGCGUAAUGUUUUUUAAGAGUUCUUAUCGACAAAAAAGAUUGCGACCUCGAUGUUGGAUUAAGGAAAAAGUUGGG
Molecule: ribosomal RNA, 407 nt
Filed under: Troglophilus sp. 1 GA-2017
Lineage: Eukaryota; Metazoa; Arthropoda; Insecta; Orthoptera; Rhaphidophoridae
Description: partial 16S ribosomal RNA
Rfam family: Bacterial large subunit ribosomal RNA
Source: RNAcentral